GACGAACCGUGCGAACGUUGUUCGGAUUCACUGGGCUUAAAGGGCGCGUAGGCGGGCGGUCAAGUCGGGGGUGAAAUCUUUCAGCUUAACUGGAAAAGUGCCUCCGAUACUGAUCGUCUUGAGGGAGGUAGGGGCAUGUGGAACUUCCGGUGGAGCGGUGAAAUGCGUAGAUAUCGGAAGGAACGCCGGUGGCGAAGGCGGUUAGCUGGGCAGUUGCUGACACUGAGGCGCGACAGCGUGGGGAGCAAACAGG
Molecule: ribosomal RNA, 253 nt
Filed under: uncultured bacterium
Lineage: Bacteria
Description: partial 16S ribosomal RNA
Rfam family: Bacterial small subunit ribosomal RNA
Source: RNAcentral